CCUAAACAGAGGGUAUGGGUACUCACAGUGCUCAGAGCCAUCGCUGUGCCCUGGUGCUGUGCUGUCUGUCCUGUAAGCAGUGUGCUGUAGCUGCUCUGGCAGUUUCCUUGCUGCCCUCUGGCAGCACUGCCCGGCUCCCACCCGGCUGACACACAAAGAUGGUGUGUAUGCAAUGCUGAUGGGGAGGAUCAGCCCAUGCCCUGUGCAGUGGGCAGAGGAAUGUGACAGAGCCACCAGUCCUUGGCACUGGGGUUAUCCACCGUGGCACCAUAGCCCUGCAGUGCUGCCACCUGUUACCACACUUGAGCUAAGGAGGCUGUCCCAGCUGGUGCUCCUGAGGCUGCCCAGGGUGCAGUCCAAGCCUUGCAUUUGCUCUAUAGGUUGAAUUUGGGGCUGCAAAAUAAACCACUGUGUUGAGUUCUUUGGCUGCACGCCUGUGACCUUUUCAUCCCGUGUAGCUGCUGUAUUUCCCAUGUGUUUGCAGCACUCUUCGCAGUCUCCUCCCUGAUCUGUGUCCCUGUGUGCCAGAAGCAUCGCUCAGUGAGACUUAAACAAGAAAUACCUUGUGCUACACUGCCACUUGUGCACCCUUGUUUGACUGAUGCUUGAUCCUGUCUGCUGGGAAGGCUGGCUGAAUGGAGGCAGACCCAUCUCCUCUUUCUCUCCUCUGGAACGUGCUUUCAGUCUGCUGCUGCAGUGCAGAUUUGCAGCUGGGUUCUGCUCAGGGUGUGUGGCUGCUCGGCCUCACUGCUGCUUUCCUGCACUGGAUGCGUGCACCUCCAGGAGUGUUGGUUCUUCUGCAUCUCAGGGAAGGAGACUCAUCCUCAUCUGCGCCCUUUUCAGCUGUGAAGGAAGUGUUGGUGCAGGGUCUCCAGGAGGGCCAUAGGUCCUAUGGGCCAACCUGGGCUCAUCCAUGCAGAGCUCCUCCUGGCGCAGUGUGUCUGCCAUAUCCCAGGAUAGAGGAUCCCUGCUGGCUGAGUGCUGCCCUGCGGUGUGGACAGAGGGAGAAGAGGACCCUGAGCUGGGCUCGAUGCCAACAGAGGCAUUUGGUGUGGGCAGCGGGAUGGUUCCCAGCGCCCAUCCACCUCAUGGCCAUGCACAGGGC
RNAcentral lists this long non-coding RNA (1105 nucleotides) under Gallus gallus (chicken). Its description in RNAcentral is "long non-coding RNA NONGGAT005601". Lineage: Eukaryota; Metazoa; Chordata; Aves; Galliformes; Phasianidae. The record is from RNAcentral.